This 231-nucleotide long non-coding RNA is filed under the name Lathyrus oleraceus (garden pea). RNAcentral's name for it is "Pisum sativum (pea) long non-coding RNA (PSAT_LNC031101)". The record is from RNAcentral. Lineage: Eukaryota; Viridiplantae; Streptophyta; Magnoliopsida; Fabales; Fabaceae.
AGCUUUAAUUAUCUUUUCAUACUCGGUAGAUUCUUCGUUUAAUGUUAUACUUGAAUAAUAUUGUUUAAGAUAUUUUAAAUUAAUACCUUGAUCCCUAGGUUGACCAGAAGUCUCUCCCGUAGUUGUGUUUUCACACAAAAGGGCGCCCAAUAAUUCAUCGCAUAUAUAGUUAUCUUGGUUAACUCUACCAUUUACAACCUUACCAUCGAUACAUAGACCUAACAACAUAUA